UACGUAGGGGGCAAGCGUUGUCCGGAAUCAUUGGGCGUAAAGCGCGCGUAGGCGGCUCGAUCAGUCUGCUGUGAAAGUCAAAGGCUCAACCUUUGAAUGCCGGUGGAUACUGUCGAGCUAGAGUCCGGAAGAGGCGAGUGGAAUUCCUGGUGUAGCGGUGGAAUGCGCAGAUAUCAGGAGGAACACCAACGGCGAAGGCAGCUCGCUGGGACGGUACUGACGCUGAGGAGCGAAAGCAUGGGGAGCGAACAGG
RNAcentral lists this ribosomal RNA (253 nucleotides) under uncultured bacterium. RNAcentral's name for it is "partial 16S ribosomal RNA". It matches the Rfam family "Bacterial small subunit ribosomal RNA", at positions 524 to 776 of the family's 1533-position model. The record is from RNAcentral.